ACUAUUUACAUUAUCCACCACAGUUACUUUAUCCCUUCACCUGUGGAUGGGCAGGACAACCAAGUCCCUACAUGUCUCCUCUGGACACCAUGGGUUAAAUCUUCCAAGAGACAGCAACAGUCGUCAAAUCCUCCUCACCAUGACAGGAAGCAAGGAGGAAGGACCCUGAAGACCCUCGAUGUCCCUUCUCAGCAGCAAGCAGCUUCAGAGAAUGACCUCUGUCCCAUCUCCCAAAAGAUUUCUGAGCCCCAACUCCUUGAGGGAGAAAUGUAAGAGUAGACAGUCAAUAUGAGCAGGCAUGAAGGGGGGUAUCCAUGUUGGAAAGAACACCCAGGAACACCUUUUAGGAUGCCCAGCACUCACUCCAUGGUCGAAUUGUCAGAAUGUUGUUAACUAGAUUAUGAUAAGGAAGGAAAAAGGCAAAAGAGGAAUUCCUGAGAGCUGAGCAGGUACAAUUAGUACAAAACUCGCCAUUAGAUAGGAUUCAUAUUGAUCACUGGUUCCAGUGCAUGUGCAUUAAACACAGUAGGGGAGGAUCCCCAAACUUUGAUGAGAACUGGGUAAAAAAAGAACUGAGACAAUAGAAGAUCACAAUGCAGAAUGUCUUGGGGGUGUUUCUAGCAGGGUCAGCCCACUCCUCUCUUGGAGUGUUCUUGUAUUUCUCCAAUUAAACUUUUGCUUGCUUUACAAA
Molecule: non-coding RNA, 691 nt
Organism: Chlorocebus sabaeus (green monkey)
Lineage: Eukaryota; Metazoa; Chordata; Mammalia; Primates; Cercopithecidae
Source: RefSeq, a predicted model, not a curated record